This 22-nucleotide microRNA is filed under the name Apis mellifera (honey bee). Its description in RNAcentral is "ame-miR-3750-5p". Lineage: Eukaryota; Metazoa; Arthropoda; Insecta; Hymenoptera; Apidae. The record is from miRBase by way of RNAcentral.
UAAAGCUUCAUCAGCAGGACUG